This is an RNA transcript of Chenopodium quinoa (quinoa), 2990 nucleotides long. RefSeq lists it as uncharacterized. The record is from RefSeq and is a predicted model, not a curated record. Lineage: Eukaryota; Viridiplantae; Streptophyta; Magnoliopsida; Caryophyllales; Amaranthaceae. The transcript has 10 exons.
UUUGCUCCUCCCUGUAACUAAUAAGUUAGGUUGUAGUGAUUAUAAUUGUCUUAGGGUUUCAACAAUGAUUGAGAUCAAAGUAAUGGCAGCUUUAGUUGAUGGUUUUUUUAGUCUAAAUUAAUUCUGAUUGUUUUGAUUAUCAUGUUGGUUCUUGUUGUUGUUUGUUGCAGGUGAGAGAGGUGGGAGUGUUGUGAGAGGUGGGAGUGUUAUGAGAGUGAGAGGAGGUUGGAGAGGUGGGAGAGGUGGUAGUGUUGUGAGAGGUGGUAUUGUUGGUAGUCUUAGUAGAGGUUGGGGUGGUGUUGGGAGAAGGGUUGUGAGAGGUGAGAGAAGAGGUGGUGAUGAUACACCUUUUGAUCCUUAUUUAGAAGAGGAACCUUCAUUUGAAACGUAUUCUAUGGAUGAUAGUGAAGAAGAAGAAAUAUGUUCAAGUCGUAAAAUUCAUAGAGGGGUAAAGGAAAAGGGAAGGCCAAGGGGAAGGCUAAGAUGGUGAAGCCGAAGAGCGUGAUAAAAGACAUUAAUCCGAUUGUUUACACGGAUAAUUCUAAAAGUGUAGGCGGUAGGCUAAAGGAGGCUGGGAAAGUUAUCGAAACGUUCCAACAAUACGAGAAGAUUUCAAUGAAUGUGAAUUGCCCUCUUGAGACAUUUGGGAGGGUAUUAGGCAAAUUUGAUGAAACAAAGACUCGAAUAGUCAGAGAUAUGGGUUUUGGCACAUUAUUUUAUGCUAUUGGGAAGAGGUUACCUCGACAGUUGGCAUACUGGCUGUGUACUCGGGUAGAUGUUGAUAAGAAGUGCCUUCGCAUGACAGAUGGGAUAGUUAACCCUUUUUCUUCUAUUCAGGUGCAUUGGGUUCUGGGCAUACCUCACGGACGGAGACCGGUACCAACAAAGGUAGUUGAUCAGGAGGUAGAGGACAGUUUCUGGAUAAAGUACCGCACCAUUUACAAUUCUAGGACAGAAGGGAUAACAAGGAAGACUUUUAUUGAAGCUUUGGAGGCUCCAUGUACUGAUGAGGACAAGUUUCGGCAGCUUUUUGUGUUGCUGAUGUUGAAUACACUCUGUUCGACAACUUGUCAUCGCAUGAAGAAGAAACAUCUGCAUGCAGCUGCAGUUGCAAGCAGUGCUAAACUGUAUAACUGGUGCUCUCUCAUUUUGGCUGAGUUAUUACAUGCGAUGACAAGCUUUUCUAAAAGGUUUAAUAACAAUGGUUUUUCCCAUGGAAGUGGUGGGUGUACUUUAUUUCUGUCGACUGAACAAAAUUCCACUUGAGUGGAAUGAGUUUCCGAGGCUAAAAGUAUGGACUACAAAGGAGAUGAGCAAAGCUUGUAAAGAAGAUCCUUUCCCAACGGGUGACUUUGGAAAAAAGGGGGUAAUUGGAAUAUUUAUUUUAUUAAAUAGCUACAAUCUUAUAGUUGUAUAAAUUUAUUUUUUACUUAGGAUAGUCUCUAGACGUUUCGUAUGGUGGGGAUGCUGGUCACCCGUUGAAGGCAAAGGACUGUUUUCCAACUAAAAGGAAAAGAGACGAGGCGGAUGAAGUAGUAGCUGAUAUUGAUGAUGAGGAUUUGUCAUGGCUUACCAUAGAUAUGAAAACUAGAAGAACUCUAGUUAAAGAAGAGUAUGCCUUUCAAAGGAAGAAAAAGAAGCUAGGAGAAGUACUGAAUGAGGACCCUGAAGAAGAAGGGAGGAAGAAAAGGUCUGGACAAGAUGAGGUGAGUACAAAGAAGAAGAAGAAGAAAGCGGAAGAAGAAGAAGAAAGUAAGGAUGACAGCAAGAAAAAGAAGUCGGUAGGAAUGAACCGACAUUCUUUAGUUGCGAUGGUGACUAUGUCAAACUUACUUUAUGUGGCCAUUUGAUACAUAAUUUUGGGGAGUAUGUCAGGGUUGCGGGACGCGUUUAUAAAAAGGUGUGGGAGAGGCAAUUCCCCGGUCGUAGCAGGCGAUUUAUGACUGAUCCCGCAUUUGCAGUUACCACUUAUUCCUUCAUUACCUACUUUUGAUUUAUAGAUGUUUGUUUUGUAUGCCUAACACACUGACAUAUUGUAUUUUUAGAUGUUGGUUUUGCAAGCCCAUACCAAUACCAAAAAGGUCAAAGAACUGGUGAACCUAGAGGUCAUUAAGUUAGUAAAAAUUUACACUCUCUACAUGUACCCAACUGGGUCAACCAGAAUCAAUGUGGUAUGAGUUUGCAACUAUUUAUUUGGCUCUAAAUGUACUGUAUGUACUCUAUCAAAGGUCUACUUGUGUGUAUGACAAGUCCUUUUGGGUCACAGAUAUUUGUCCCAGUUCUUCAAGAACACCACUGGUGGUGCGCUGCGUUUUCAAUUAACAGACUGGAGGUCCUUAUUAUUGAUUCAAUUUUGACUACGAACGCGGCUUCUCGCAGAAAAUGCAAAUUAGACCACUUGGUGGGAAUAAAAUGCAUAUAAACUUAUGAAUUCUAGUCUGCAUCUAUUAAUUUUAGAAGUAAGUAAGUUAAAUAGUACUUCAUUUCAGGCUGCAACAAUGGAUCUUGCAUUUCAGAAUAUGGACAAAGAUUGGCGAACAUGAACCAUUUGUAAUUGGCUAAGGACAUCCCUCAAUAUGAAAUGUUAGGGAGACUUAAAUAGCUGUGGAAUCCAUAUGCUGAUUCCGAUUAAGCGCAACGCUGACAAGUUGUUAUCAGAGAUGGCCGAACUUCCCGAUAUGACAUUUGAGAGGUCCUCGGUUGUGUGUGAAGACCUCUUGUCAGAGUUUAAUGAAUCGUGGGAAGAUGUUAUGCAGCUCCUUCAACCUCCUGUCAAUUGAUUUUCAUUUGCUGAUCAAUGGUGGUUUGGUGUAUUUUUUGGGAAGUGAAAUUUGGGACUGAACAUGGUUGUUUACUAUUAAUAACUUUAAAACUUUAGCAAUUCGGAGUAAACUUUAUUGGGGAAAUGUGUAAGUAAUAUAACAACAACCUACAAGAACUAUAAGAUAUGAUUUGUUUUGCAAUUAAUAAUGAGGAAUGAUUUUGUUUUG